UGUCAGGUCCUCAAGUUAUGAGUUAGGACCAACGACUAUUAACUUGCAUUCACAUUAUCCUCACAGAACCAAGAGUGGCAAUGCUUUGGAGAAUAGCAGUCCAGCCUAGUUAACAUGGGGAAAGAUGACAACAUUGUAUGUAGUGUUGAACCUGAAGACAUCCUACAAUGAUUUCCCACACUCUAUUUUUCCUUAUGUUUGCUUAAAUAGCAAAAAUCAACACUAAAUGUCUAAAGGAAUUUGUAAUUUGAGACCUAGUAUUUUUACACAAUAAACCUGCUAAAACAGGCUUUAAAAGACAGCAAAAUAAGCCAUAUGUAGUGGUGUUAAGACUGUAAUCCCAGCACUCAGGAAGCUGAGACAGGAGAAUUGCCGGGAGUACAAAGUCAACCGGAGCUAAAUAAUAUCAGCCACCAGGACUACAUAACGAAAGAUUGCCACAGAGGAAAGGAAGGAAGAAAAAGCCAGCAAUCAACCAUCAUGUGUUUCUGUAGAAUCAGAUGUAAUAGGAAACAUAGUUUCAGAUUGCUUCUGACAAAGUCUGUGCCACAUUCCUCACAGCAGGUGUUACUCUUUAAGACCAUGAUAGUGGAGUAAGGGAAAGAGUGAGAUGUAGCGCUCUGGAUGCUUAAAAAGUAAGUGCUUGGAUUUAACCCUAAAGUGGUUUGAAAUUGGGAAGAAGUGUGACAGGAUACAGUUGGGCUAAUUAUGCAAUAUUUCAUCUGUUUAAUUUUCUAACUCUGUAUUGUUCCUAAAGACGGAUGAAUGAGUCUCUGUGGUGUUGCCUGCUCAUUGUGCAUACCCUUGGUAGACAUUUCUCAUAGUGUGUACUUAAAAAGUGCCUGACAUUGAUUUGUGUUGAUUUCUAAGUCCAUGUAAUAAAUGAUACAUGUUUUCUA
Molecule: long non-coding RNA, 899 nt
Filed under: Mus musculus (house mouse)
Lineage: Eukaryota; Metazoa; Chordata; Mammalia; Rodentia; Muridae
Description: long non-coding RNA chr8:101105178-101106077
Source: RNAcentral